GAUGAACGCUGGCGGCGUGCCUAAUACAUGCAAGUCGAGCGAACGGACGAGAAGCUUGCUUCUCUGAUGUUAGCGGCGGACGGGUGAGUAACACGUGGAUACCCUACCUUUAAGACUGGGAUAACUUCGGGAAACCGGAGCUAAUACCGGAUAAUAUUUUGAACCGCAUGGUUCAAAAGUGAAAGACGGUCUUGCUGUCACUUAUAGAUGGUUCCGCGCUGCAUUAGCUAGUUGGUAAGGUAACGGCUUACCAAGGCAACGAUGCAUAGCCGACCUGAGAGGGUGAUCGGCCACACUGGGACUGAGACACGGUCCAGACUCCUACGGGAGGCAGCAGUAGGGAAUCUUCCGCAAUGGGCGAAAGCCUGACGGAGCGACGCCGCGUGAGUGAUGAAGGUCUUCGGAUCGUAAAACUCUGUUAUUAGGGAAGAACAUAUGUGUAAGUAACUGUGCACAUCUUGACGGUACCUAAGCAGAAAGCCACGGCUAACUACGU
This 496-nucleotide ribosomal RNA is filed under the name uncultured bacterium. Its description in RNAcentral is "partial 16S ribosomal RNA". It matches the Rfam family "Bacterial small subunit ribosomal RNA", at positions 28 to 506 of the family's 1533-position model. The record is from RNAcentral.